AUUGAACGCUGGCGGCAUGCCUUACACAUGCAAGUCGAACGGUAACGGGUCCUUCGGGAUGCCGACGAGUGGCGAACGGGUGAGUAAUAUAUCGGAACGUGCCCAGUAGUGGGGGAUAACUGCUCGAAAGAGCAGCUAAUACCGCAUACGACCUGAGGGUGAAAGGGGGGGAUCGCAAGACCUUCCGCUAUUGGAGCGGCCGAUAUCAGAUUAGCUAGUCGGUGGGGUAAAGGCCUACCAAGGCAACGAUCUGUAGUUGGUCUGAGAGGACGACCAGCCACACUGGGACUGAGACACGGCCCAGACUCCUACGGGAGGCAGCAGUGGGGAAUUUUGGACAAUGGGCGCAAGCCUGAUCCAGCAAUGCCGCGUGCAGGAAGAAGGCCUUCGGGUUGUAAACUGCUUAUGUCAGGGAAGAAAUCUUCUGGGCUAAUACCCCGGGAGGAUGACGGUACCCGAAGAAUAAGCACCGGCUAACUACGUGCCAGCAGCCGCCGUAA
RNAcentral lists this ribosomal RNA (500 nucleotides) under uncultured bacterium. RNAcentral's name for it is "partial 16S ribosomal RNA". It matches the Rfam family "Bacterial small subunit ribosomal RNA", at positions 30 to 523 of the family's 1533-position model. The record is from RNAcentral.